GCCUGUAUAGAUCAAUGCUAGAUCGUCUCUCCACAAUGUGGUCUGCAUUCAUUCAACCUGAUACUGAGAAGACGGAGGUUCGAAUCCUUUUGCGGGCA
Molecule: non-coding RNA, 98 nt
Organism: Mycena metata
Lineage: Eukaryota; Fungi; Basidiomycota; Agaricomycetes; Agaricales; Mycenaceae
Source: the annotation of a GenBank genome assembly